GUGAUGAGGGCUUAACGGCUCACGUUUUCUGGGAGAGUGUCGCACCUUUGA
Molecule: small nucleolar RNA, 51 nt
Filed under: Aeropyrum pernix K1
Lineage: Archaea; Thermoproteati; Thermoproteota; Thermoprotei; Acidilobales; Acidilobaceae
Description: APEsR10
Source: RNAcentral